RNAcentral lists this long non-coding RNA (255 nucleotides) under Mytilus galloprovincialis (Mediterranean mussel). Lineage: Eukaryota; Metazoa; Mollusca; Bivalvia; Mytilida; Mytilidae. The record is from RNAcentral.
GUUUUGAGUAGCGCUAAUUGCUGCAUCAGUAUCGCUUACGGGAACCAUUUCUGCUUGAACCUAAGCUGGGAACAGUAUAUCUAACACAUAUAUAUGUUCCUGACCUAAGCUAUUCGUAGAAAUGUAUCUAUGUAUUUUGUAGACAUUAUAAAAACUUUGUAAUUUUAUGUUAUUUGCUUAUUGUGACACUAUGAUACACGAACAAACACACACACACACGCGCACAUGCAGAUAUGUUUAAAUUUAAUCUCCAAC